Molecule: ribosomal RNA, 497 nt
Filed under: uncultured bacterium
Lineage: Bacteria
Description: partial 16S ribosomal RNA
Rfam family: Bacterial small subunit ribosomal RNA
Source: RNAcentral
GAUGAACGCUGGCGGCGUGCCUAAUACAUGCAAGUCGAGCGAACAGACGAGGAGCUUGCUCCUCUGACGUUAGCGGCGGACGGGUGAGUAACACGUGUAUAACCUACCUAUAAGACUGGGAUAACUUCGGGAAACCGGAGCUAAUACCGGAGAAUAUAUUGAACCGCAUGGUUCAAUAGUGAAAGGCGGUUUUGCUGUCACUUAUAGAUGGAUCCGCGCCGCAUGAGCUAGUUGGUAAGGUAACGGCUUACCAAGGCAACGAUGCGUAGCCGACCUGAGAGGGUGAUCGGCGACAUUGGAACUUAGCCACGGUCCAGACUACUACGGGAGGCAGCAGUAGGGAAUCUGCCGCAAUGGUCGAAAGCCUGACGGAGCAACGCCGAGUGAGUGAUGAAGGUCUUCGGAUCGUAAAACUCUGUUAUGAGGGAAGAACAAAUGUGUAAGUAACUAUGCACGUCUUGACGGUACCUAAUAAGAAAGCAACGGCUAACUACGUG